This 613-nucleotide long non-coding RNA is filed under the name Homo sapiens (human). RNAcentral's name for it is "HSALNT0119800". Lineage: Eukaryota; Metazoa; Chordata; Mammalia; Primates; Hominidae. The record is from RNAcentral.
GAAUGUGAACUUUGAAUUCAGCCUAUAAUUUGAAUCUUGGCAUCAAUAUUCCUCUGAUUGAUGACUUUGGACCGUGCUCCCAUGAUGAAGGGGUACCAGCACCCACAGAGGGAGUUUCAGGAAAGCUAUUUGAUCCAUAACAACAAAGGCCAUGGUUCCCAAGGAAAGAAUGCUCCCUUCAAAGCAGUUGCAUCAAGGAGGAAAGAAUUUUACCCUAUGAACUCAGAAGAGUGUGUGUUCUAAAUAUUUCAUGUUUCACAUCCAGGGGUUUUGGUGGACUUUUUAGGACAAUUUAUUUUAUGGUUCUAUCAUCAUACCAUUUCUAAUGCUGAAAAGCAGGAAAUUAGGAAACAUCCAUUUCAAAUGCUUGAAAAGUAAGAAGUUCCAGCUGAGCACGGUGGCUCACACCUGUAAUCCUAGGACUUUGGGAGUCUGAGGAGGGAGGAUCAUGAGCUCAGGAGUUCAAUACCAGCCUGGCCAACAUGGUGAAACCUCAUCUCUACUAAAAAUACAAAAAAAAAUUAGCCAGGCUUGGUGGCGGGUGCCUGUAAUCCCAGCUACUAGAGAGGCAGAGGCAGGAGAGUUGCUUGUACCCAGGAGGUGGAGGUUGCAG